RNAcentral lists this transfer RNA (83 nucleotides) under Candidatus Desantisiibacteriota bacterium. RNAcentral describes it as "Candidatus Desantisbacteria bacterium (hot springs metagenome) tRNA-Leu". It matches the Rfam family "tRNA". From Rfam's summary of the family: Transfer RNA (tRNA) molecules are approximately 80 nucleotides in length. Their secondary structure includes four short double-helical elements and three loops (D, anti-codon, and T loops). Lineage: Bacteria; Candidatus Desantisiibacteriota. The record is from RNAcentral.
GGGCGAGUGGCGGAAAGGUAUACGCGACGGACUUAAAAUCCGUCGGUCGCAAGACCUUGAGGGUUCAAAUCCCUCCUCGCCCA